ACCAUGUGACAUUGUUUGUAUUUGGUUAUUCACCUGACGCAGUAGAAUAACAUAGUGAACACAAACGUUUUUCACAGAGAUCAUCGAUCGGUAAGAAUAUAUUUCAUAUACUUCAUUUUAAUAUUUUAGAAGUAUGUUAUAACCCUUAUUUAAUCUCAUAUUUUUCUAAUUUUACAAUAUUAUCAUUAAUUUUUGUAUUCAACUUCCUUGUUGCUUCCUUCUAUAGGAGAUAUUCGUUAAAAUACCACAGAAAGAGAAAGUGAAUAUAUAAACUUCGUCUUACUUGCGAUCAUACCACACAUCGAAGUUUCUCAUCCGUGAUGAUAAAACAAAGAAUUCAUAAAAAGAUAUUAGUGUCAAAAGCUAAAAAGAAUGAACUGAGAAUCCAAAUUUAAUAUAUACUGAGCAAGCAAAGAAAAGCAUUUGUUUUAUGAUUAUUUCAAACAAUGUUUAAAAUAUUAUCAGUGAUAGAAAAGAGGGACGAAAGAUACCAAAGGGACAGUCACACUCAUAGAUAGAAAAUAAACUAACAACACUAUGGAUAAAAAUAAAAAGCCAAACAGACAAAUAAUAGUACAGAAAACUAUAGACUGGGCAACACGAACCCCACGAAACACGGGAUGAUUUCAGGUGCGCCGGAAGGGCAAGCAGAUACUGCUCCCAUCAUGUUGUUUAUACUACUGUUGCCUUUAUUUAUGUUAUUUCAAGUCCGGUAAAUAGUCUAAUCCGGUAGGUCAAAUUGGUGAAAAGGGAGGGUAUUGUAGUUACGCAAAAGGAACAUAUUCUAUUUUAUCUGUGAAACGUUUAUGCCAUAAACACUACAUGCCUGGGUCGUGUUUUAUUUUCAAAAUAUAUAUUAAAAAGAGGAUCUAAAAUUUCAUGUCCCAUGUAUAACAGUUUCAAAUUCCGUUUAAUUUCUAAAGUAGAAAGUCUCCAUUAGAAUAAAUAAAGAACAGUAAAUGUGUACGUUAGAAUGCAAGAGGGAUGGUAGGAGGGGUCCUGAUCCCGAAAUCCCAGGCUUAAAAACACGAAAUCCCGAAAUCCCGGGCUUAAAAACGCGAAAUCCCGAGGUCCCGAAAUUUGAAAAAAGAAUUCCCGGAUCCCGAAAGGGUCAAUCCCGAAAUACCGAGCUUAAAAACAGCCGAUCCCGGAGUCCCGAUAAAGGUCCUAUACCCCUCAUGUAACUAAGUGCCAUAAAUGCAUAGAAUUUUCAAUCAAUUUACUAUAUAGAAUUUUUUUUAAAGUUGUUACAUAAUAUUGUUCCUUUUUUUUCAUUACCAGAUUUAUUUUGAAAUGGCUUCUAUAGUUCCAUGUGGACCCUGUGGUCAUGACGGCAUAACAAAGAAUGCAGAGAAAUGGUGUACCGAUUGCAACGAAGGGUUUUGUAAUGUAUGUGAAAAAGCACAUACAUCAAUGAAAAUAUCGAGAGAACAUAAUUUGAUCCAAAUCGAAGAUUACCGUAAAAUUGAAAAUGUUAAGGUUUGCUUAGAGUGCAUGGAGCACGGGUCCAAACUUGAGCUAUACUGCAAGUUUCAUGAAAUGCCUAUUUGUUUGGCAUGCUUUCCAGCAAUGCACAAAAGUUGUUCAGAUGCCAUUAUUCCUCUAACUGAAGCUGCAAAAAAUGCAAAAGUAUCGACUUCUCUUGCGGACUUAGAACAUACUAUCAACAGCACAAUAGGUAACAUACAAGAGUUUGUUAUGGACCGAGAGGCAGCCAAAGAAAAAAUGGAAACGCAAGAAAUUAGUAUUAGAAAACUUAUCUCUAUUACACGACAAAAUAUAAAUAAACAUUUAGAUGAUCUGGAAAGAAAAUUAUUAAUUGAGUUGUCAACAACAUAUUCAUCUUGUAAGUCAAAAUAUCUAAAGUUAACAAACAAACUUAAUACAAUUGAAAAGAUUAUUAAACGCGUCAAGGAAGAAAUAUCUCAACUUAAGCGUUUUGCCCCCGACUUACACGUGUUCCUUAGCACGCAUCAGAUGAACAAAGAAGUACACGGCGAAAUAAAAGCCAUACAAGAAGCCAUAAGUUCCAUUGAUAAUUGCAACAUAGAAAUUGAAAUACACCAGGGGAUUACUUCACUAUUUAAUGACGUUGACUGCUUUGCAAAGAUAAAAGUUGAAAAAAGUACCAUCAGCUUUCCAUUUAAAGAUGCAAAGAUUGAUCAAGCUCAAUUACCAGCACAACUAAGAAGAUCCGUUCAUAAUACAAGGCUGGAGUUGAGAAAGAAGAUCACGAUUGAGCAAAGAAGACGUAGCAUGUUCAUUUCAGGGUGUACUAUUUUGGCAAAUGGUAACUUAUUGAUUGCAGAUUGCGAGGGACAUAAUGUAUUAUUAGAGUAUAACGAUGAAGGAAAGUUUAUCCGUGACAUACCCGUGUCUGCAAGGCCUUAUGAUCUCUCAUUUAUAGAUUCCGAUCGCAUCGCGGUUUCUUAUGGUAGUCAACGAUACAUCGAGAUAUUUGAUUUGAAUAAGAUAAUCGUUAUUAAAAGACUGACAUUAAAAAACGAUUGUUUGGGAAUAUCAUACAGUGAUGGAAAGAUUUAUGUUGUAGUAAGUGGUGAGGGAAUAGUGGUGUUUGAUAUGGAAGGAACCACACUUAAUACAAUAAAGUGUGGCAUAGCAACAAUUUUCAAUAUCACAGCUAGCAAAACUAGAAUCUAUUAUACAGAAUCCGAUCAGAACACUGUUUAUUGUUGCAGUUCAACUGGAGAAGAAAUAUGGGGUUUCAAGGAUAAGUCACUUGUAUUCCCUGGAGGACUUGCCGUUGAUUCUGACCAUAAUGUGUUUGUUGUAGGUUUAAAUUCUGAUACCCUUCUGAUGCUACAACAUGAUGGGAAAUUCAGCAAAACAUUACUAACUAAAGCAGAUGGAAUGCAUCGUCCAACACGCAUAUUCUACAACAAAGAAAAGAGCCUCUUGCUUGUGUGCAACAGCCACAACAGUGUCUGUUUGUUCAGUGUUAUUUAGCUGCAAUCCGUUUUGUUAAGGCUGACUUUACAUAGGGUAUACAAACGUGCACGUGUUAAAUAUUUGAUUGAUGAUGUUGACGACUUUCUCAAUGUCAUGAACAUGCACAAAAACAGUUAACUAUGCCACAACACUUCAAUUUACACGGUUUUGACUUUGGUUAGGCAUUAUUUGUGGCGGAGAAAAUAUACGUAAAUGAAGAUGUGGAGAAAAAAUUAGUGACUCAACACCCAAUUACUAAAAUAAUCAAAAUAAAU
RNAcentral lists this long non-coding RNA (3224 nucleotides) under Mytilus galloprovincialis (Mediterranean mussel). The record is from RNAcentral. Lineage: Eukaryota; Metazoa; Mollusca; Bivalvia; Mytilida; Mytilidae.